RNAcentral lists this ribosomal RNA (380 nucleotides) under Gnomulus sp. GG-2000. RNAcentral's name for it is "SSU rRNA". It matches the Rfam family "Eukaryotic small subunit ribosomal RNA", at positions 24 to 399 of the family's 1831-position model. Lineage: Eukaryota; Metazoa; Arthropoda; Arachnida; Opiliones; Sandokanidae. The record is from RNAcentral.
UCAUAUGCUUGUCUCAAAGACUAAGCCAUGCAAGUCUAAGUACAUGCUUUAACAAAGUGAAACCGCGAAUGGCUCAUUAAAUCAGUUAUGGUUCCUUAGAUCGUACCAUCCUACUUGGAUAACUGUGGUAAUUCUAGAGCUAAUACAUGCAGCAGAACUCGAACCUUCGGGGACGAGUGCUUUUAUUAGACCAAGACCAAUCGGGCUUCUGCUCGACAAUUGUGGCGACUCUGGAUAACUUUUGGCUGAUCGCACGAUCUUGUAUCGGCGACGUUUCUUUCAAGUGUCUGCCUUAUCAACUUUCGAUGGUAGGUUAUGCGCCUACCAUGGUCGUAACGGGUGACGGGGAAUCAGGGUUCGAUUCCGGAGAGGGAGCCUAA